This 303-nucleotide ribosomal RNA is filed under the name uncultured bacterium. RNAcentral describes it as "bacterial SSU rRNA". It matches the Rfam family "Bacterial small subunit ribosomal RNA", at positions 355 to 675 of the family's 1533-position model. The record is from RNAcentral.
UGGGGAAUAUUGCACAAUGGGGGAAACCCUGAUGCAGCGACGCCGCGUGAGCGAAGAAGUACCUCGGUAUGUAAAGCUCUAUCAGCAGGGAAGAAAGUGACAGUACCUGACUAAGAAGCCCCGGCUAACUACGUGCCAGCAGCCGCGGUAAUACGUAGGGGGCAAGCGUUAUCCGGAUUCACUGGGCGUAAAGGGAGCGCAGGCGGCGCGGCAAGUCUGAUGUGAAAGCCCGGGGCUCAACCCCGGGUCUGCAUUGGAAACUGUCGAGCUAGAGUGUCGGAGGGGUAAGCGGAAUUCCUAGUG